AAAACGGAGAGUUUGAUCCUGGCUCAGGAUGAACGCUGGCGGUAUGCUUAACACAUGCAAGUCGAACGGUGUCUUCGGACAUAGUGGCGGACGGGUGAGUAACGCGUGAGAAUCUGGCUUCAGGUCUGGGACAACCACUGGAAACGGUGGCUAAUACCGGAUGUGCCGAAAGGUGAAAGGCUUGCUGCCUGAAGAUGAGCUCGCGUCUGAUUAGCUAGUUGGAAGUGUAAUGGACUCCCAAGGCGACGAUCAGUAGCUGGUCUGAGAGGACGAUCAGCCACACUGGGACUGAGACACGGCCCAGACUCCUACGGGAGGCAGCAGUGGGGAAUUUUCCGCAAUGGGCGAAAGCCUGACGGAGCAAUACCGCGUGAGGGAGGAAGGCUCUUGGGUCGUAAACCUCUUUUCUCAGGGAAGAACACAAUGACGGUACCUGAGGAAUAAGCAUCGGCUAACUCCGUGCCAGCAGCCGCGGUAAUACGGAGGAUGCAAGCGUUAUCCGGAAUGAUUGGGCGUAAAGCGUCCGCAGGUGGCAAUGUAAGUCUGCUGUUAAAGAGUCUAGCUCAACUAGAUAAGAGCAGUGGAAACUACAUAGCUAGAGUACGUUCGGGGCAGAGGGAAUUCCUGGUGUAGCGGUGAAAUGCGUAGAGAUCAGGAAGAACACCAGUGGCGAAGGCGCUCUGCUAGGCCGUAACUGACACUGAGGGACGAAAGCUAGGGGAGCGAAUGGGAUUAGAUACCCCAGUAGUCCUAGCCGUAAACGAUGGAUACUAGGCGUGGCUUGUAUCGACCCGAGCCGUGCCGUAGCUAACGCGUUAAGUAUCCCGCCUGGGGAGUACGCUACGCAACGGUGAAACUCAAAGGAAUUGACGGGGGCCCGCACAAGCGGUGGAGUAUGUGGUUUAAUUCGAUGCAACGCGAAGAACCUUACCAAGGCUUGACAUGUCGCGAAUCUUCUUGAAAGAGAAGAGUGCCUUCGGGAGCGCGAACACAGGUGGUGCAUGGCUGUCGUCAGCUCGUGUCGUGAGAUGUUGGGUUAAGUCCCGCAACGAGCGCAACCCUCGUUUUUAGUUGCCAGCAUUAAGUUGGGCACUCUAGAGAGACUGCUCGGUGACAAACCGGAGGAAGGUGGGGAUGACGUCAAGUCAGCAUGCCCCUUACGCCUUGGGCUACACACGUACUACAAUGCUCCGGACAGAGGGCAGCAAGCAUGCGAAUGCAAGCAAAUCCCGUAAACCGGAGCUCAGUUCAGAUCGCAGGCUGCAACUCGCCUGCGUGAAGGAGGAAUCGCUAGUAAUUGCAGGUCAGCAUACUGCAGUGAAUUCGUUCCCGGGCCUUGUACACACCGCCCGUCACACCAUGGAAGCUGGUAGUGCCCGAAGUCAUUACUCCAACCAUUCGUGGAGGAGGAUGCCUAAGGCAGGACUGGUGACUGGGGUGAAGUCGUAACAAGGUAGCCGUACCGGAAGGUGUGGCUGGAUCACCUCCUUU
This 1491-nucleotide ribosomal RNA is filed under the name Nostoc sp. GT001. RNAcentral's name for it is "bacterial SSU rRNA". It matches the Rfam family "Bacterial small subunit ribosomal RNA". Lineage: Bacteria; Bacillati; Cyanobacteriota; Cyanophyceae; Nostocales; Nostocaceae. The record is from RNAcentral.